CUCUCAGUACUGCUCAGUCAUUAAAGAAGUGACCCUGAAAAGUGUUGGCUGAGGACGAGGUUUGCUGUUGCUUCCUGCACGAGUGGCUUCAGCAUGUGCUUCACACCACAGUGGGCUGCACUGUCGCCCCAGGCCUGCAGCAAAGUAGGGGACACUCAGCUGCUCAGGGAUGGGUUGCUCACCUUCCUUGGCCCUGCCCUGCAGCAGUGGGGAACAGUAGCACACCACACUUCUCUAAAUACCAUGUCCAGGAUACGCUGACCUCAUGGACCUGCCUGGCAGGAGACACCUCAGUGAAGAAAGGACUCACGGAUAACUGGCAGAGCCUGGGAGAGCAGAACAAGGCAGGACCUUCCUGCAGCCUUCUGCUGCUCCCCAGUGGCGGCGUGGAGAGGCACCACGGGCGGUUCCUGAAGGGGGAAGCCAGAACGGGAGACGGUGAAGGAACUGUCGCAUCUCUAAGUGGAGGUCGUGAUUUCUUUCUCCAUCUUCCCCAGAACUCACAGUUAAUUCUCAGCGGGCAGGGGAACAGUAGGGUGACAAGGAUGUGGGGGAGAUAUAAUCACAAGCCUAGAGUUUUUUGAAAAGAAGCAAACACUUUUGGAACCUUUGAGGACAGCAGACAAUACUUUGUGGGUUUAUUUCUCCAAAUCAGUGAAAGCAUAAAACUGUCUCGAUUUCCUUAUCCUGAUAAUUCACUUGCUUCUUAAAAUGAUCUUCCUCCCCGGUUGUGUUCUGAAAUAAAAAGCAUGAAGACAAACA
This 762-nucleotide long non-coding RNA is filed under the name Parus major (Great Tit). RNAcentral's name for it is "lncRNA (ENSPMJG00000010513.1)". Lineage: Eukaryota; Metazoa; Chordata; Aves; Passeriformes; Paridae. The record is from RNAcentral.